This 23-nucleotide non-coding RNA is filed under the name Arabidopsis thaliana (thale cress). The record is from RNAcentral. Lineage: Eukaryota; Viridiplantae; Streptophyta; Magnoliopsida; Brassicales; Brassicaceae.
GUCGGGAGGUGUGAUCCCUCGUU